RNAcentral lists this ribosomal RNA (529 nucleotides) under Variibacter gotjawalensis. RNAcentral describes it as "bacterial SSU rRNA". It matches the Rfam family "Bacterial small subunit ribosomal RNA", at positions 162 to 725 of the family's 1533-position model. Lineage: Bacteria; Pseudomonadati; Pseudomonadota; Alphaproteobacteria; Hyphomicrobiales; Nitrobacteraceae. The record is from RNAcentral.
GCUAAUACCGGAUAAGCCCUUACGGGGAAAGAUUUAUCGCCAAAGGAUCGGCCCGCGUCUGAUUAGCUAGUUGGUGGGGUAACGGCCCACCAAGGCGACGAUCAGUAGCUGGUCUGAGAGGAUGAUCAGCCUCACUGGGACUGAGACACGGCCCAGACUCCUACGGGAGGCAGCAGUGGGGAAUAUUGGACAAUGGGCGCAAGCCUGAUCCAGCCAUGCCGCGUGGAUGAUGAAGGCCCUAGGGUUGUAAAGUCCUUUCGACGGGGAAGAUAAUGACGGUACCCGUAGAAGAAGCCCCGGCUAACUUCGUGCCAGCAGCCGCGGUAAUACGAAGGGGGCUAGCGUUGCUCGGAAUCACUGGGCGUAAAGCGCACGUAGGCGGCUUUCUAAGUCAGGGGUGAAAUCCUGGAGCUCAACUCCAGAACUGCCUUUGAUACUGGGAAGCUCGAGUCCGGAAGAGGUGAGUGGAACUGCGAGUGUAGAGGUGAAAUUCGUAGAUAUUCGCAAGAACACCAGUGGCGAAGGCGGC